GAUGAACGCUGGCGGCGUGCCUAAUACAUGCAAGUCGUACGAACAGCGGAAAGUGCUUGCACUUUCCAAGUAAGUGGCGAACGGGUGAGUAACACGUGGGUAACCUGCCCAAAAGAAGGGGAUAACAUUUGGAAACAAGUGCUAAUACCGUAUAACCAUGAUGACCGCAUGGUCAUGAUGUAAAAGGUGGUUUUGCUAUCGCUUUUGGAUGGACCCGCGGCGUAUUAACUAGUUGGUAAGGUAACGGCUUACCAAGGUGAUGAUACGUAGCCGAACUGAGAGGUUGAUCGGCCACAAUGGGACUGAGACACGGCCCAUACUCCUACGGGAGGCAGCAGUAGGGAAUCUUCCACAAUGGGCGCAAGCCUGAUGGAGCAACGCCGCGUGAAUGAAGAAGGUCUUCGGAUCGUAAAGUUCUGUUAUUAGAGAAGAACACGUGUAAGAGUAACUGAUUAUGCGUUGACGGUAUCUAAUCAGCAAGUCACGGCUAACUACGUGCCAGCCG
Molecule: ribosomal RNA, 505 nt
Filed under: uncultured bacterium
Lineage: Bacteria
Description: bacterial SSU rRNA
Rfam family: Bacterial small subunit ribosomal RNA
Source: RNAcentral